Molecule: long non-coding RNA, 1920 nt
Organism: Herpailurus yagouaroundi (jaguarundi)
Lineage: Eukaryota; Metazoa; Chordata; Mammalia; Carnivora; Felidae
Exons: 4
Source: RefSeq, a predicted model, not a curated record
CUAUUUUUUUGGAAGAGUUUGGGAAGGAUUAGCAUUAUUUCUUCUUUGGUAAAAUUUACCAGUGAAGCCACCUGGUCCCAGCUGUUGUUCAUGGGGAGAUUUUUGCCUGGUGAUUCAGUCUUGGUAGGAUGUACGUUUCUUAUGUUUUUCUUGCUUUUAGAGCUCAGCUCCUCUGUCUGGGCAGGGACAGACCAGGCUUCCCGGACUGCUGACGGUCUUCUGUUGAGGAUCCGAGUCGGGCAGAACUGCACCAGUCUGCUGCUUCUGCACGCGAGCAGGGAUGCCUGUGAACUUGGGCAUCGCAGGUAGGAUGCCGUCCGACCUCUACAGACCAAAGUGGUACCACAAGACCUCCCUUCUUUUUUUCUUUAGUGUUUAUUUUUGAGAGAGAAUCCCAAGCAGGCUCUGCACCAAGAGCCCAACACGGGGCUCAACCUCACAAACCGUGAGAUCGUGACCCAAACUGAAAAUCAAGAGUCGGAUGCUCAAGUGACUGAACCACGCAGGCCCCCCCAAGCUCUCCUGUGACAGGUUCCAAGUGGUCGAGACCACAAUGGGGGGUCUCGUAGGUGCAGGGGAGACCCCUCAGUGUAUUGCUGGACUGUAUAUUGGGGGCAGUCAUUUUUUGAUUUCUAACACAAAUAUACCUGUUUUUAUAAUUCUACCCAACUGCAUAAAGCAGGGGCAUGAAAGGAGAAUCCGGAGCAGUCCUUUGCAGAGGUUGGUGGUUGGUGGUCCUACGAAUUCCCCAGGUGGGAUCGUUAACACAUUGAAUCAGGAUGUCUGGGUGUGGGUAAGAAUUUGCGCUCGUAACAGCCUUCUCAGCCAAACACACUUAAAUAGUGUCUUUAUUUGGGGCUUUCAUUUCUCUUAAGUUUGUGGAAAUGAAAGAAAACCACACACACAAACCUCUUAGAUGAAGACAAAGUUUUAUUCUAAAAAUAGAUCUCAGUAACAAUGAAAUACCAAAAGCUGGUCAUUAUAAGAAAAAGAAAAAAAGAGGUAAAAAAUUUGCUUUAAAUUUUCCUCCUCAAAAAUACAAAAUUCUCACUGUACUAUAUUGCGAACUCUCAUUUAUCUGUACGCAAAUUAACUUUAUCCAAAGACAUUUAAAGUCACAGAUUGGAUUCUAAUGUAUCUUCAAGUAAAUACAUUCUCUGAGAAUGCAAUGAAAUAUUUAAACAUAAUUGGGAUAUAAAUUUAUGCUCAGGGAAAUCAUGUUACCACUUCCCUCUAUUUUUGCAGAUAACCAAAAAAAGUGACUGCACCCAAGUACUGGUAUUUGAAGGUAGCAGAGAGAAAACAUUAACUACAUUAUUUGUAUCUUUAAAGGCAUAUAAUGACCUGUAGUACUUAAAAAAAGUGGUUUCACAUCUUCAAAGUGCUAGAGAAGUAUCCGGGAAGACAAAGUUCGACCUCAAGUACUGAAGGAUGCAGAAGACAAAAGGAGGAAAAGGUAAAAGGCCCCCAUCACUGUAUCCAUCAAAGUGGUUUAAAGACCAGGUAGGCAAGUUACCCAAUCAGCCCACCUCUCUGUCCUCACCACACUACCCAUGGUCACCACCUCAGUUGGCUGCACAGUGACUAGGAAGGAUUGUCCUGUAUCAAAAUUCUUGACAUUCUCUGAAGGCCAAAAGCUGGUCCCAGAAGGGCCAUCCUCUUCAGCGUAGACGCACUGUCAUCAGGACAGCUUAGCUUGUUGGCAGAAAGUGGUGGUACUUUACUUUGCGUAGUCAUUUAGUAUGACUGAAACAGCUUUUUUUCUUGUCAAAACUUGACCGUGAGUUUUGACUGCUGUAACGUAAACUCGAAAACUGAACACCCAAACAUAAGUUGACUAAUACUGGUGUCCCGACAAUACGGUGCUUUUUCUGUUAACCUAAUACAGCCUAAAGAGCCCCUCUCCAGGAGAGGAAGGGC